AAUAUUGGACAAUGGGGGCAACCCUGAUCCAGCGAUGCCGCGUGUGCGAAGAAGGCCUGCGGGUUGUAAAGCACUUUGAGUGGGGAAGAAAGGCUCAAGUCGAAUAGGCUUGAGAGUUGACGUUACCCACAGAACAAGCACCGGCUAACUCUGUGCCAGCAGCCGCGGUAAUACAGAGGGUGCAAGCGUUAAUCGGAAUUACUGGGCGUAAAGGGCGCGUAGGCGGAGUAAUAAGUUAGAUGUGAAAUCCCUGGGCUUAACCUGGGAAUGGCAUUUAAUACUGUUAUUCUAGAGUAGAGUAGAGGGAAGUGGAAUUUCCGGUGUAGCGGUGAAAUGCGUAGAGAUCGGAAAGAACACCAGUGGCGAAGGCGGCUUCCUGGACUCAUACUGACGCUGAGGCGCGAAAGCGUGGGGAGCAAAC
RNAcentral lists this ribosomal RNA (421 nucleotides) under uncultured bacterium. RNAcentral's name for it is "bacterial SSU rRNA". It matches the Rfam family "Bacterial small subunit ribosomal RNA", at positions 360 to 773 of the family's 1533-position model. The record is from RNAcentral.